RNAcentral lists this long non-coding RNA (576 nucleotides) under Oryza sativa Indica Group (long-grained rice). Its description in RNAcentral is "lncRNA OsZS97_10G007930". The record is from RNAcentral. Lineage: Eukaryota; Viridiplantae; Streptophyta; Magnoliopsida; Poales; Poaceae.
GCCAUCGCGCCCUGCCACCGCAACCGCCCUGCCCCGCCUGCAGCGGAAUCCAUUCCUCCUCCGUCCGUCGCCCCACACCCCCCAACCCACGGCUCCACUUUCCUCAACGCCACCGCCUCCGUCCAACACUCCAACCGCCACGCGACGCCUCUGCCUUCUCCCUCUCCUUCGUGGUCCUUCCCAUCCCCGCCGAUUCCCCGCCUCCUCACCGCCGUCGCCGCUCCCACUCCCCAUACCCCCACCCCAGUUUCCUCGACGCCACCGCAGCGCAUAGCCGACGGGGCCGUUCUGUCCCUGCUCCCCAGGGACGACUGUGGCGCCGCCGCCGACCGCAAGGCGCCGGAUGUCGAGGACGCAGCCUCAAGGGUGCAAGCCUACCAGCUGCACUUAGACACUGCCCUGGAUUGCUGCAAGGCGCUUGAGGGAUCUCUCCUUGAUGCAGCAUUUGGUGAGGGAUUCAGAAGCAACAUUCAAGCAACUGAAGCAGCAGGUGAUGACAUUCUCUAUGAAGACAUUCUUACUUCUGUUGUUGGCGCGUGCAGGUCUGGCAACGUGGUGAGGGUCAAGUGGAGGUGA